UACGGAGGGGGCUAGCGUUGUUCGGAAUUACUGGGCGUAAAGCGCGCGUAGGCGGCUUUGUAAGUUAGAGGUGAAAGCCCAGAGCUUAACUCUGGAAUUGCCUUUAAGACUGCAUCGCUAGAAUCGUGGAGAGGUAAGUGGAAUUCCGAGUGUAGAGGUGAAAUUCGUAGAUAUUCGGAAGAAACACCAGUGGCGAAGGCGACUUACUGGACACGUAUUGACGCUGAGGUGCGAAAAGCGUGGGGAGCAAACAGG
Molecule: ribosomal RNA, 255 nt
Filed under: uncultured bacterium
Lineage: Bacteria
Description: partial 16S ribosomal RNA
Rfam family: Bacterial small subunit ribosomal RNA
Source: RNAcentral